AGCCUGCCCACUGAAUAAUUUUAAAUGGCCGCAGUAUCCUAACUGUGCAAAGGUAGCAUAAUCAUUAGUCUUUUAAUUGAAGGCUGGUAUGAAUGGUUGGACGAGGUAUUAACUGUUUCAAAUAAAUUUAUAAUUGAAUUUUAUUUUUUAGUUAAAAAGCUAAAAUUUUAUUAAAAGACGAGAAGACCCUAUAAAUCUUUACUUUUAAGUUUAUUUUAAUUAUUAAGAUGAAUUUUAUUAUAAUAAAAUUAAAAGUUUUAUUGGGGUGAUAUUAAAAUUUAAUGAACUUUUAAUUUGUUAUGACAUUAAUUAAUGAAUAAUUGAUCCGUUAUUGGCGAUUAAAAAUUUAAGUUACUUUAGGGAUAACAGCGUAAUUUUUUUGGAGAGUUCUUAUCGAUAAAAAAGAUUGCGACCUCGAUGUUGGAUUAAGAAAAAUUUUAGGUGUAGUCG
RNAcentral lists this ribosomal RNA (450 nucleotides) under Allosepsis sp. 6 LZ-2013. RNAcentral describes it as "partial 16S ribosomal RNA". It matches the Rfam family "Bacterial large subunit ribosomal RNA", at positions 1856 to 2561 of the family's 2925-position model. The record is from RNAcentral. Lineage: Eukaryota; Metazoa; Arthropoda; Insecta; Diptera; Sepsidae.